Molecule: long non-coding RNA, 2774 nt
Filed under: Pelobates cultripes (western spadefoot toad)
Lineage: Eukaryota; Metazoa; Chordata; Amphibia; Anura; Pelobatidae
Source: RNAcentral
UUAUCGAGGUAUAAAUAUUUUUAUUUCAGCAAGUAAACUGUGUAAAAUUAAAACACUAUUAUAAUUUUACAAUUUAAAUGAUAGAUUUAAAUGCGAACUUAAGAAAAAACGAAUAACUGCAAUAUGCAAAGCAACAAAACUGACUUUUUCUAAAAGACAACCGCUCUCCUCCCAAAUUUAAAAACAGAGGCAGAGACUAAAAUACAUACUUAGAAUACAUCUUGCUUCUGCCUUCUUCAAGUUAGCUGAAGAUGUGUUUUAGCUCCACUGUGAUACACAUUUAUAGCUUUUAUCUUUAUGCCAUUAAAACUGACAACAUAGAAUUAAAAGCCAAGUCACAUUUGGUAAGAGCUGCAUUUAUUAUACUCAGUUAUUGAUAUAAAAAAAAAAAAAUGUAAAACCACAAUGAAAACAUUGUUUUGCUGACAUGAAUGGAAACACAGAAAUCUGAAAGAAAUACUAAAAACAUUAUGGAAAAUGCUGAAAUACUACAAAUUUUUAAACAGCAAGACUGGGUGAGGUGCAUACAUUGGUGACAUAUAAAUAAAAGUGUCAGAAUAAGAAAAAAUCCAUAACAAUUUUUUAUUAUAAACACAAAUGCCCCAAUUUUGUGUUUAUAAUAAAAUUACAUAUCUAUUAUUUAUUUAUUACUGGCAUUUAUAAAGCACCAACAUAGUCCAUAGCACUGUACAAUUUUGAAAAAGACAAUACAGUGUAAACAUACCAAUAUAAAAGGUAGAGGACCCUGCCCGUGAGUUUACAAUCUAAAGGUUAAAAUGGGGAGAUGAGACAAGAGGUAGCAGAGGAAUUUGAAGGUGAUGGCAGAGAGAAUUAAUAAUAUAAUUGCAGUAAUUAAUAACAAUUGAUAGGAAGGUGAUUGACUGAGAUUCCAAACAGCUAGAAGAGCAUGCUCUAUAGUUAGCAGGAACAAGUGGGGGCAGGUGGGUGGGUUGGUUGAGCAGAGUAAAAUUGAAGAGGCUUGUUGCAGACAAGGUUUGGGAAUUGGAAAUAGAAAUAGAUAACACUUAUAUUGCAUUAAAGGAUCACUAUAGUGUCAGGAAAACAAAGCGGUUUUCCUGACACUAUAGUGCCCUGAGGGUGCCCCCACCCUCAGGGUCCCCCUCCCGUGGCGCUGAAGGGGUUAAAACCACUUCAGCAACUUACCUUAAUCCAGCGCCAGGCUCCCUCGGCGCUGGUGACCUCUCCUCCCCGUCCGACGUCAGCUCCCCCCUCAGACGUUACUGGAGCCGAAUGCGCAGCACAAAAUGUCCAUAGGAAAGCAUUUCUCAAUGCUUUCCUAUGGACGCUCUGCGCAAUGGAGGCGAAAUUCGCCUCCAGCGUCGCAGAUGCGCCUCUAGUGGCUGUCCGGAAGACAGCCACUAGAGGCUGGCUUAACCCAAAAUGUAACUGCUAUGUUUGCAUCUGAAGGGUAAAACCUGAGGGACCUGGCACCCAGACCACUUCAUUGAGCUGAAGUGGUCUGGGUGACUGUAGUGUCCCUUUAAGAAAUGUAGACAUCUAGACAUUAUGAUGUGUAAUGUCUAAAGGCGAUUAGAGAUCUGUUGUUAAUUCAGCUGAAACAAUAUGUCCUGAACACUUUAUAAGAGAGACCUGUUCUAUAAAAAAUGAGAGUAUCAUUUCAUUGUAACAAGAUAGAGGAUCAUUGUACCUUUGCAUGUCAGAGGCUAAAGGGCUUCAGACAGAUAACAUUAGGUUUCAACGUACAUAAAAAAUAAAUAAAAAAAUGUUGAUUUCUGUCUUUCACCCUUUUUUUAGGUGAAAUAUCUCUUUCAAGAAUAUGUAAAUAGAUAUGCCAGUAACGGAGAUUAAUGGUAUAUUGGGAAGGGACUGCCUUCUGUGCGUCUGCUCUACUGCAUUUUUUUUUGUCUAAUUAUUAUAGGAAAAUUUCUUACUUUAACAUAGUUCUCUAAAAUGUAUAUUAGUUGUGAUAACAGUUUUCCAAUCAAGAAAUAAGUCAUUAUAGUGAAAGAGAUUUGUAAUGAUAACAAUGACCUUACCUACCCAAGUUAACCAUUAACCAAAAAGAAAACAAUAUAUCUUGUGUUCAGCUACCCUCGCUCAUCUAAAAGAUGACCCCCCUCAGUCAUUGUAACUUCACUAAUAUUGCUGGUUUAGCUAUCACUGUGAUCAAUUAGAAUAUCCCCUGCCGCGUGUAAUACACCUGCAAACAACAUUUUGUUGUUAGGCUAUCCAUGAAACCUGAUUGUGUGAGCCAUGAUGACUGGGUUCAGAGCUCGUACAUUGCACAAUGAGAUUAAGACACAGACAAGAUGACUGCACAUGCAAAUGGACCAAAUAGGAUUAAAAGAAAAUUAGAGGCACACUUAAGUAUGCGGAGUAAAUGCUUACUAAAUGCAGAAUAUCACUUAGCGUGAGUUGUGUGGAUAAUUUUGUUGUUGAAAGGUUCAGUUACACUCUAGAAAAAUUCUCCUAAACUCUUUACAAUGAAUUAGUGUGGUAUUUUGUGCAACUCUGUGUCUGAUUUUAAGUUUUUUUUCUGCUGUUGUAUAUACAUAACUAUAUAUGUGAGCAUAUAUCUAAAAUUGUGAUCUUUCGUCCAAACUACAAUAUCUGAAUGAUGAAUUCUUGCUUAAAGGACCACUAUAGUGCCAGGAAAACAUACUCGUUUUCCUGGCACUAUAGUGCCCUGAGGGUGCCCCCACCCUCAGGGACCCCCUCCCACCCGGCUCUGGAAGGGAGAAAGGGGUAAAAACUUACCUUUUUCCAGCGCUGGGCGGGGAGCUCUCCUCCUC